RNAcentral lists this ribosomal RNA (373 nucleotides) under uncultured bacterium. RNAcentral describes it as "bacterial SSU rRNA". It matches the Rfam family "Bacterial small subunit ribosomal RNA", at positions 525 to 896 of the family's 1533-position model. The record is from RNAcentral.
ACGUAGGGGGCAAGCGUUGUCCGGAUUUAUUGGGCGUAAAGAGCGUGUAGGCGGCCAGACAGGUCAGCUGUGAAAACUCGAGGCUCAACCUCGAGACGUCGGUUGAAACCGUUUGGCUAGAGUCCGGAAGAGGAGAGUGGAAUUCCCGGUGUAGCGGUGAAAUGCGCAGAUAUCGGGAAGAACACCCGUGGCGAAGGCGGCUCUCUGGGACGGUACUGACGCUGAGACGCGAAAGCGUGGGGAGCGAACAGGAUUAGAUACCCUGGUAGUCCACGCCGUAAACGAUGGGCACUAGGUGUGGCGGGUAUCGACUCCCGCUGUGCCGAAGCUAACGCAUUAAGUGCCCCGCCUGGGGAGUACGGCCGCAAGGCUA